Molecule: long non-coding RNA, 985 nt
Filed under: Olea europaea subsp. europaea
Lineage: Eukaryota; Viridiplantae; Streptophyta; Magnoliopsida; Lamiales; Oleaceae
Source: RNAcentral
CCUAACCCAUGCCUACCCCUAGAUGGAGGAGUUGCAGAUUGAUGCUAGUUCUCACUUCGCCCCUGCUGGCUCCGAUUGUGCCUGUGAUCCUGAAUUAUGUUUUGGGCUUUUUUUUUUUAAUUAGGCUGGCCCAAAUGGUUAAAAAACCAUAUUUUUACCACAGACUCGGGCAGAGGUCCAGUUCCAUUCCACUCUCCAGACUUCUCACAUCACUCCCAACUUCACACUUCGCAGGCAAUUUCAGAAUCCAAUUCCUUCCGGUGAGCAACGAGCAUGAACGGUGUGCUGAAGCUAGAAGACCCCACUACCGCAAGGUGGAAGCUCGCAACCGCAACUCCCAACUGGUACAAUUGUGAAUUUGUAUCUGUGAAUCACUAUCAAUUUAUCAUUUCAAUUUCAAUUUCAAUUUUCAAGUAUGACGUUAAAUUGGGGCAUGUUUAUCGUUUAUGUUUAAUUAUUGGUGUUUUUUGAGUAAUUUGUUGUGCUCUCUCUCUCUCUCUCUCUGCCUAAUUUGGUACUAAUUUUUAGGGUUUUGAUUUUUGAAUUGCUUGCUUACAGCUUACUUGCUGUUUGGGGAUUUUGUUUAAAUUGGUUUUAUUGUGAUGUUUUCAGUUGGGCAAUUUAGAGAUUUGCGGUAUUUUUAGGUUUUAUUUGUAAAUAGUCCCAUUCUUUAGACUUUUAAGUUUUGAUUUAAGUUUUUAUGAAUUGUCUUAUUGUGAUUAAAGUUGGGCAAUUUAGAGAUCUGUGAUAUUUUUAGGUUUUAUCUGUAAAUAGUCCCGUCCUUUUGAGUUCUGAUUUAAGUUUUUAUGAAUUGGUUUUAUUGUGAUUAAGUUUAUAUGAAGUGUUUAUGGCUUUCAAUAAAUUGUGGAAACUGGAAAGUAAAUAAGUAAUGCUGUAAUGGGAGAAGUUCGAUAAGGAAAGGUGGGGCUUUUAAUAAAUGGUGGAAAGUUGGAAAGUUUUUAUGAUGGUUGAUAAAUGGUUGAAU